RNAcentral lists this ribosomal RNA (507 nucleotides) under uncultured soil bacterium. RNAcentral's name for it is "bacterial SSU rRNA". It matches the Rfam family "Bacterial small subunit ribosomal RNA", at positions 26 to 518 of the family's 1533-position model. The record is from RNAcentral.
AGAUUGAACGCUGGCGGCGUGCCUAACACAUGCAAGUCGAUCGGUAACAGGUGUAGCAAUACAUGCUGACGAGAGGCGGACGGGUGAGUAACGCUUGGGAAUCUGCCUAUUAGUGGGGGGACAACCCGGGGAAACUCGGGCUAAUACCGCAUACGCUCUACGGAGGAAAGCCGGGGACCGCAAGGCCUGGCGCUAAUAGAUGAGCCCAAGUCGGAUUAGCUAGUGUAGGGUAACGCCUACCAAGGCGACGAUCCGUAGCUGGUCUGAGAGGACGACCAGCCACACUGGGACUGAGACACGGCCCAGACUCCUACGGGAGGCAGCAGUGGGAAUAUGGACAAUGGGGGAAACCCUGAUCCAGCGACGCCGCGUGGGUGAAGAAGGCCUGGCGGGUUGUAAAGCCCGUUUCGGUGGGAAGAAAAGCCGUCGACCUAACGACGUCGGGUAUUCGGAACGUAACCCACGAAAAGAACGACACCGGCUAACUCUAGUGCCGAGCCAGCCGAC